Non-coding RNA from Uloborus diversus, 73 nucleotides. The record is from the annotation of a RefSeq genome assembly. Lineage: Eukaryota; Metazoa; Arthropoda; Arachnida; Araneae; Uloboridae.
UCUCAUGUGGUCUGCUGGUUAGGAUUCCUGGCUUUCACCCAGGCCGCCCCGGGUUCGAUUCCCGGCAUGGGAA